Molecule: microRNA precursor, 132 nt
Filed under: Medicago truncatula (barrel medic)
Lineage: Eukaryota; Viridiplantae; Streptophyta; Magnoliopsida; Fabales; Fabaceae
Description: MIR2599 microRNA precursor family
Rfam family: MIR2599 microRNA precursor family
Source: Rfam by way of RNAcentral
AUGGGUAUAAGGAAUCUACUUUAUUCAACACACUAACCUAAUUUCCGAGACAUGUUACAUACCUGAAACAUAUCUUAGAAAUUAGGGUUUUUCUUAGUUUGUGUGCUGAACAAAGUAGAUUCCUUGUACUCA